UACGGGGGGGGCAAGCGUUGUUCGGAAUUACUGGGCGUAAAGGGCGCGUAGGCGGUUCGCUAAGUUGGAUGUGAAAACUCUGGGCUCAACCCAGAGCCUGCAUCCAAAACUGGCGGGCUAGAGUUCUGGAGGGGGUAGCGGAAUUCCUGGUGUAGCGGUGAAAUGCGUAGAUAUCAGGAGGAACACCGGUGGCGAAGGCGGCUACCUGGACAGAAACUGACGCUGAUGCGCGAAAGCUAGGGGAGCGAACGGG
RNAcentral lists this ribosomal RNA (253 nucleotides) under uncultured bacterium. RNAcentral's name for it is "partial 16S ribosomal RNA". It matches the Rfam family "Bacterial small subunit ribosomal RNA", at positions 524 to 776 of the family's 1533-position model. The record is from RNAcentral.